UUAAAUUGAAGAGUUUGAUCAUGGCUCAGAUUGAACGCUGGCGGCAGGCCUAACACAUGCAAGUCGAACGGUAACAGAAAGCAGCUUGCUGCUUUGCUGACGAGUGGCGGACGGGUGAGUAAUGUCUGGGAAACUGCCUGAUGGAGGGGGAU
Molecule: ribosomal RNA, 152 nt
Filed under: Escherichia coli
Lineage: Bacteria; Pseudomonadati; Pseudomonadota; Gammaproteobacteria; Enterobacterales; Enterobacteriaceae
Description: partial 16S ribosomal RNA
Rfam family: Bacterial small subunit ribosomal RNA
Source: RNAcentral